CCUACGGGAGGCAGCAGUGGGGAAUUUUCCGCAAUGGGCGAAAGCCUGACGGAGCAAUACCGCGUGAGGGAAGAAUGCCUACGGGUUGUAAACCUCUUUUAUCAGGGAGGAACAAAAUGACGUGUACCUGAUGAAUAAGCAUCGGCUAACUCUGUGCCAGCAGCCGCGGUAAGACAGAGGAUGCAAGUGUUAUCCGGAAUUACUGGGCGUAAAGCGUCUGUAGGUUGUUGAACAAGUCAACUGUUAAAUCUUGAAGCUCAACUUCAAAAUCGCAGUCGAAACUGUUUGACUAGAGUAUAGUAGAGGUAAAGGGAAUUUCCAGUGGAGCGGUGAAAUGCGUAGAUAUUGGAAAGAACACCGAUGGCGAAAGCACUUUACUGGGCUAUUACUGACACUCAGAGACGACAGCUAGGGUAGCAAAUGGGAUUAGAUACCCCAGUAGUCCUAGCCGUAAACUAUGGAUACUAGAUGUUGAACAGAUCGACCCGUGNNUAUAAUAUACGUACGUAGUAUACUCCGUCGAGUAGUAGNUCGCGAGAGAGAACGACAACAAGAGUAGUAGACGUGAGAGACGCGACGACGACGACGACGGAGGAGG
This 598-nucleotide ribosomal RNA is filed under the name uncultured bacterium. RNAcentral describes it as "bacterial SSU rRNA". The stretch from base 1 to 521 matches the Rfam family "Bacterial small subunit ribosomal RNA", at positions 338 to 873 of the family's 1533-position model. The record is from RNAcentral.